Long non-coding RNA from Myotis daubentonii (Daubenton's bat), 1707 nucleotides. RefSeq lists it as uncharacterized. Lineage: Eukaryota; Metazoa; Chordata; Mammalia; Chiroptera; Vespertilionidae. The transcript is spliced from 3 exons. The record is from RefSeq and is a predicted model, not a curated record.
AAAAUGAAAUUUGUGGCCAAGACUAAAGUUUUCUCUCAAUAUCCUUUUUCUCAGUCUUUGAUGAUCAGCCCCCUGAUUUUUAAAUGGACAACCCCUCAUCCUGAACAAAGACUACAUUUCUCAGCCCCCUUGCAGUGGGAUGUGAGUGGAAAUGACAUGUAACUACCAGAAUGUGUCUUUAAAGGGAAGAGCCAUUGUCCCUACUUCUUCCCUGCCGGCUGGAAUUUAGAUGUGAUGGGUAGAGGUCCAGUAGCCAUCCUGGACAAUAAGGUGACCUUGAGAUUUGAAGACAUGCAUGAUGGAGCGACAAUAUAGAAGCUGAACACAAUCCUAACUGCUACCAAAGAUAUCUUUUCAGGUGACUUGGAGCUAAAAAAAAAAAAAAAAAAAAAAAACCCACAAAAACUAGCUGUACAUAGUUCAUUGGGUAACAGUGAAAGGUUGGAAGCAAUGGACUAAAUCUGACAGCAUGGAGUUUAAGGACAAACGCCGCCAUCUCCAGAGCCCUUCCCAUCCAGGAUUCCCUGAUUGGGGUGGAAUGCAUCCGUUGCCUAGAGCACCCUGACGUUCUGGCGAGAAGAAAGGGGAGAGACUAAAUACCCCGUUUUACUUCUUGUUAAAUUCCUAGGAAGAGGGAGGACGUUAAAGCACUUGAUUAAAUAAAAGUCCUAGUCAUCUGUGACUUUCAUUGCUUACGAAACAUUGGCCUCCUAUUGAGAAUCAAAAAUUAAAAUGAUCAUAUUUUUUAUUUUUGCUGGAGACAUGUGCAGGGUGAGGUCUGAGGGGGUGUUAGAAACACUCUUUCCUUUCCCUGGGAAAAGCAUAUCUCUUUUCAUACAUCUCUUUCUUUUCUUCCAAAGUAAGCAUGCCUGCAGAGUGCCGGAAGGCUGUGCUGGUUAUAGUCGGGGUAGUGCUUGUUUGGCGAGGGUGGCCUAGAUCCAGCAGCUGGUGUGUUGAUCCUGCUGAGCACAGAACUGCAAGAGCCCAUUCAGAAAGACACAGACACAUGCCUGAUUUUGGCAAAUAAAAAGGGGCCAGCCACUGUUGAAUAGACUGACAAAUAUCUCAAGUUCCAAAGGUUUAACCACAUCAUAUCUUUUAAAAAAGCAGAUGUUUAAGCCUUUUAGAAAUAAUUUGACUUGAACUUAUUUUUCAUCCCAAAACAAUACCUGGCAAUGGUUCCUCUGGCUUUCAGAGAGGUGGUCUGGGAAAUAAAAGGCACUAGUAUUUUGUGAAUCAGGGGUGUGAGGAUGGUGUACAUUGCUCCGCUUACUGAACACUUACGUAAGAGUGAAGGCCGCUUGAACUGUGGGCUUUAUGUGAUUUCUCUCUUUCAGUCUUUAUAAGAAUCAGGAGACAUGGGAUUGUUGCUCCCAUUUAGAGAGGAGAACGCAAUGACUCGGAGAACUCAGGAAACUAUUAGAGGGCAGAGGGCCUCUAGCAAGUUACUUGGGGAAGCGUUUGACCCACAGUCAUUAACACAGCUCUGGAGUCCAGUGCUUCACGUAAUAGCCCAUGUUCAGAGACGAGAGCAACAACACCCAUAACUGAGUCUUGCAUUAGGUUCACAAUACUCCAGGAAUCUCUUUAUUUCCUCGGCACACAGGCGCUCUGUCACUGUUUUCUGUUGGGGUCCAGCCCCAGCAGGUCCAGGGGUUCCCAAAGGUGUGGACUGAGUCGGCAAAGAAGGAAUGGCACGGAGGCAGC